Sinocyclocheilus anshuiensis is the source of this 2457-nucleotide RNA transcript. It is a transcript of the gene named OMA1 zinc metallopeptidase, with no coding region annotated. The transcript has 9 exons. NCBI's taxonomy places the organism in Eukaryota, Metazoa, Chordata, Actinopteri, Cypriniformes, Cyprinidae. The record is from RefSeq and is a predicted model, not a curated record.
UGUAGCAGAGAGAGUUACAGUGAAGAACUUCUCGAAACAGACGGAUAAACUUUUUAAAUAAUUAAUGUCUGUAAUUAAGGAGUUGUAGCAAUGAAAGUCUAGCAACGCUGAAAGUUUUAGCGAUCAGGCUAAGUGUAAUCACACUUGCCAUAAUAUGUGGACUUUUAUAGACUUCCUACUUUGCUGACAGUGACAUUAAUAUGUGAAUUUUAAAUGCAUAAUGUGCCCAUAUAGCCUACAAACUAUGACUUAGCUUAUCAUUGUAAUUAUUACGCAAACAAGGGUAAAGUUGAACGUUCAGUGUAUUUUAUAAUAACAAUGGAGCAGAUUUGUCUUCGCCUGGUCAAACUCGACAUGUUGUCCAGAAUAAGGUCAUUAAACCGGGUUGAUUCUGUGGUCAGAUGGUGUGGACAGAGACAGCGUCCGUCACUCUUCGCCUCUGCUCGGACUGAUCUCAGGACAAACUCAUCUACCUCUCUGAAACCAAGAGGAUCUGUCACAGUUUCUCCUUCAUUUCUCUGUUUGAGAUCAAGACUCAGCAUCUGUAUAACAGCAUUCAGACCUCCAGUUCAUCCGUUCAUCAUUCAGUCCACGCGGGAGAUUCACACCUCGGGCAGACUGAGAGCUUUACCUGCACCCUUGAUAUGGAUGGUGCUGAAGCCACUGCAGAAGCUCAUGGCCAUCAUACUGGGCAGGAGUAUUAGAAAAUGGUGGUUGGCUCUGCCACCCAAUAGAAAGCAGCUGUUUCGUGAAUGGACAUGGCGUCGACGCUGGCACUUUGUGGGAGCUGGGGCAGGACUGCUGUUCUUUGUCUGCCUCUUUUUAUUCACUCAUCUGGAUGAAUCUCCAGUGACAGGCAGGACCCGACUGCUGGUGUUCAGCAGGGAGAACUUCAUGGAACUGGCUCAGGUCACUGCGGAAGCGUAUAUGGAGGAGUUUAAGGAUUCUCUGAUCGCUCGAUCGGAUCCCAGGCAUCAGGCGGUGGAGUUAGUGGUUCGGAUUCUGGCCGAGAGAAACCGGGACAUUGCUGAGAUUUCCUCUGUCCCCUGGACGGUCCAUGUGGUGGACGGUCCUACAAUCAAUGCGUUUGUUUUGCCUAAUGGAAAGGUCUUCAUCUUCACAGGAAUGCUGGAGGCUGUAGCAGACAUCCAUCAGCUGGUCUUUAUACUGGGACAUGAGAUGGCUCACGCUCUGAUUGGUCAUGCAGCAGAGCAGGCCAGUUUGUCUCACGUGGUGGAGCUGUUGUCUCUCAUCCUGUUAACGGCGAUCUGGGCGAUCUGUCCCAGGGACAGUUUAGCCGUGCUGGGCCAGUGGAUUCAGGGCAAACUAGUGCAGUUCUUAUUUGACCGGCCCUUCAGUCGUAAGCUGGAGGCAGAGGCGGACCAGGUUGGCCUGCAACUGGCUGCCAAGGCGUGUGCUGACGUGAGGGCAGGCCCAGUCUUUUGGCAGCAGAUGGAGAUCUAUGAUCAGUUGAGAGGCGAACCCACCAUCCCAGAGUGGCUAUCCACACACCCUUCCCACCAAAACCGUGUCAGACAGUUGGACCGCCUCGUCCCUGAGGCUUUGGAGCUCCGCGCACGCUGUGACUGUCCUGCCCUCCCCAAAGCUGACCCCCGUGUCAUUUUCCACCAGGCUGUUAAAUUGGUUCUGGACAAUGACAAAAAACAAGAAAAGAUUGCACAAGAAGAAAAGACUGAGAAACAGAGAGCUGGAGUCAUGUUGCCGCUCCCUCAAUCCCCUCCUGUCCCAACUCCGGGGUCUCAACCUCAGCUGGGAUGAUUGCUGGCCACAUCCGCUCUGCCACAAACUCUGCUUAGUAAAUGAGACUUGAUGAAACAUGACUGACAGGGACACAUUCAAGCUUUCCUUUUCACUUCUCUUUUUCCAGUCCAGUAGCCCUGAACAAGGACUGAGAGGAUUGUCAGAUAGAACCAGACAGUUUUUUUGAUCCAUUUGAUUAGCUGUCACUUUGAUACCUACGUCAGUUAGUCUGUGAGAUGAUUUGAGUGAGAGUAUGUACAUCAUUUGUGUGUGAUGCUUGAGUUUAUGCUCCUCCUUCAAGCAUCCACGGCAGUGCAGUCAUGUUAAUAAUGGAGCAAUUGUAAAUGGGUUUUUGAUUGGUUUUAAUGAUGUUAUUAGCAUAAGACCCCUGUGAAGUUGAAUGCAUUAUGGUGUACAGUACAUUAUUCAUCAAACAUCUGCCUCUGCUUUAAUGUCCCCUAUAGGUUCCAGGCUGUAAUGUAACUGCUGCAUAGCAGCUAAUGUCACUGUGUUUGAAGCUGUGUGGAGCUUUGGACAUACUACAUUAUUUAGAGGAUUUGUCAAUGGCCAGCUGAUGCUAAAUAUGAGCCCAACGCUUGUGUUCUUGACAAGUGUUAAGUUUAUUUUAAAUGCACUCUGUAUGAAUACUAUGAAUGUAAAGAAUAUGUGACUGUAAUUACAUACAAGAUAAAUGAA